RNAcentral lists this long non-coding RNA (207 nucleotides) under Nicotiana benthamiana. Its description in RNAcentral is "long non-coding RNA (NBEN_LNC022386)". The record is from RNAcentral. Lineage: Eukaryota; Viridiplantae; Streptophyta; Magnoliopsida; Solanales; Solanaceae.
AUUUUUAUAGGUUUUAAGGAUGACCUUACCUGCUUCCUCAUUGCACAUGCCUCACAAACUUUGUCUUCCUUGAACUUGAUAUUAGGUGACCCUAUCACCAAGUCCUUGGAAACUAAUUUUUUUAAUUGAUUUAGACUAGCAUGACAAAUUCUUUUCUGCAAAAGGAGGGGAUCAUUAAUUAACACACUCAGAGAAGUGAGUUUAUUU